This 161-nucleotide ribosomal RNA is filed under the name Peltigera canina. Its description in RNAcentral is "5.8S ribosomal RNA". The stretch from base 41 to 161 matches the Rfam family "5.8S ribosomal RNA", at positions 1 to 121 of the family's 154-position model. From Rfam's summary of the family: 5.8S ribosomal RNA (5.8S rRNA) is a component of the large subunit of the eukaryotic ribosome. It is transcribed by RNA polymerase I as part of the 45S precursor that also contains 18S and 28S rRNA. Functionally, it is thought that 5.8S rRNA may be involved in ribosome translocation. The record is from RNAcentral. Lineage: Eukaryota; Fungi; Ascomycota; Lecanoromycetes; Peltigerales; Peltigeraceae.
UAAAUACGGUGAUGUCUGAGCAAAUUAUUUAAAUAAGCAAAACUUUCAACAACGGAUCUCUUGGUUCCGGCAUCGAUGAAGAACGCAGCGAAAUGCGAUAAGUAAUGUGGACCGCAGUACUCAGCGACUCAUCGAAUCUUUGAACGCACAUUGCGCCCCUU